RNAcentral lists this transfer RNA (65 nucleotides) under Baronia brevicornis. RNAcentral's name for it is "tRNA-Arg". Lineage: Eukaryota; Metazoa; Arthropoda; Insecta; Lepidoptera; Papilionidae. The record is from RNAcentral.
AAAUAAGAAGCAUUUUAUGCAUUUAAUUUCGACUUAAAAGAUGAGAAUAAGCCACUCCUUAUUUU